RNAcentral lists this non-coding RNA (200 nucleotides) under Planctomycetaceae bacterium. RNAcentral's name for it is "6S RNA". It matches the Rfam family "6S / SsrS RNA". Rfam says of the family: E. coli 6S RNA was the first non coding RNA to be sequenced, but its function was unknown until recently. It consists of 184 nucleotides that fold into an extended hairpin structure with a large single-stranded internal bulge. The 6S RNA specifically associates with RNA polymerase holoenzyme containing the sigma70 specificity factor. Lineage: Bacteria; Pseudomonadati; Planctomycetota; Planctomycetia; Planctomycetales; Planctomycetaceae. The record is from RNAcentral.
AGACCUCUGCGAUGUUCGAUACCGGACCAAAUUUUGCCGAUCCGACUACAGUCCGCAGGGAUUCGUGAGUCUGCAACAGCGUGUAUAUCUGCGCUUGGUCCAUUGAGGCCAACUGACAGCUCCCACAAGUUGUGGCGGCGAUGCCCACCUAGAUAAGCGGAUCUGUGCAACAUGGUCCCCCGGCAUUCUGCGGAGGUUUC